This 83-nucleotide non-coding RNA is filed under the name uncultured Stomatobaculum sp. Its description in RNAcentral is "S10-Clostridia ribosomal protein leader". It matches the Rfam family "S10-Clostridia ribosomal protein leader". Lineage: Bacteria; Bacillati; Bacillota; Clostridia; Lachnospirales; Lachnospiraceae. The record is from RNAcentral.
GAUAGCUAUGAAGCGAGAGGUUGCCGUCUGCCAUAGGCGGGGAAUUCCGUGGAGCGAAUGUCAUGUUACGAAACUGGCGACAA